This 73-nucleotide transfer RNA is filed under the name Ixodes scapularis (black-legged tick). It matches the Rfam family "tRNA". Rfam says of the family: Transfer RNA (tRNA) molecules are approximately 80 nucleotides in length. The record is from Rfam by way of RNAcentral. Lineage: Eukaryota; Metazoa; Arthropoda; Arachnida; Ixodida; Ixodidae.
CUUUGGUUAGCUCAGUUGGUAGAGGGCUCCAAUGGAAAUGGAGAGGUCCCGGGUUCGAUACCCGGACCAGGCG